GAUGAAGAACGUAGCGAAAUGCGAUAAGUAAUGUGAAUUGCAGAAUUCAGUGAAUCAUCGAAUCUUUGAACGCACAUUGCGCCCCUUGGUAUUCCGAGGGGCAUGCCUGUUCGAGCGUCAUUAUAACCCCUCAAGCUCAGCUUGGUGUUGGGGCCUGCUGCACUGGCAGCCCUUAAAAUCAGUGGCGGCGACAUCUGGCUCUAAGCGUAGUAAUUCUUCUCGCUAUGGAGUCCUGGUGGAUGCUUGCCAUCAACCCCCAAUUUUUCUAUGGUUGACCUCGGAUCAGGUAGGGAUACCCGCUGAACUUAAGCAUAUCAAUAAGCGGAGGA
RNAcentral lists this unclassified non-coding RNA (329 nucleotides) under soil metagenome. RNAcentral's name for it is "partial contains 5.8S ribosomal RNA, internal transcribed spacer 2, and large subunit ribosomal RNA". The stretch from base 1 to 120 matches the Rfam family "5.8S ribosomal RNA", at positions 35 to 154 of the family's 154-position model. The record is from RNAcentral.